AUAUUACAUUACAAGGAAAGUUUGCACAGGAACUUUGAAAUUCAAUGUUGAAUGCAUAUCCCAGAAGGAGUGGCAGUCUCUUGAAAAUCUUGGCUCUUUGCAACACACUGGAAAGAAAGUAGAGAUGACAGAGAAAGAAAUUGCUCUUAAGGAGCUUACAUUCCAGUAAUGCAUGCACAGAAUGAAAUAAGUUCCAUAACAGAAGUAUGCACAAUGGAUGUGUCUUGAGAAUACAGAAUAGGAAGUUGGCUAUCAUCAAAUGGAGGGCAUUGAAGGCUGAGAAAAUAAUCAUUUUAUAUGUGAGUGUGUUUAUCUUAAAGUUGAUGAUGAAACCUGAAACAGAAGUGAAGUUGCCUAAGACUGACCAUUCCAAGAGGCAAUUAAUGAGAUACUGUUCUCAGACCCAGUGAUGAUGCUUCUAGAGAACCAUUUGGAGAGUUUUUCACGUGUUCCAUGCAAGGACUGGCAUCUGAUUCACAACUACAAAAUUUAAAGGUGAGAGUCAGUGGCCUGAGCUCUGUUGACUAGGAGCACAGUGAGGGAAAAUGGCUCUGUCGGAAUCCACCACAACUUCUAGCAUCUGGUGUGACAAAGGAUGUUUGAAUUUCCCAUGAACCCAUGAGGCCCCCGAGGUUGGAAUGUAUUGGGUUGUUAUGAGUGGAACUCCACACAAGAGGAGUAAAUCCAAUGGAGGGGUGGGCCACAAAAACCAGUGGCUAAAGGGGAAGUUGUAAGAGGAGGCAUAGUGUACGUCAGAUGAACUGUAGGUGAGAGAUCCCCAAUGAUGGAAGUUGUCUCUGAAAAAGCCACAAAACCACUCCAAGAAAGAAAGAAUUGACAUUUAGAACAUCCCUCACAGAGAGAAUACCUAUACCAGAGUAUAACUGUACUGUGAAAUAAUACUAUAUUUACUUUUACUUCUUUUCAAUCUCCUCACUCCAAUCCCUGAAAGGUCCCAAAGCAUCAGCUAGGGAGUCAAGGAGAAGGUAGAAUAAGAGCUGAAGAUGAUUCUAACCAUCCCCAUCUUCUUUCAUUAUAGGCUUCCAAGACUGAAGUAGGCUAGAGAUCAGAGAAGAGAGAAGUUUUAAAUUUGAUGAGAAUAGGAUUUUGAUUAUUAUACUGACUAGAUUUUUUAAUACCUGGAAAAAGAGAUUAUUAAAUUUCAUUGAGUCUAAGAUGCUAUUGAUUAUAAGAUGUUCCAUUAUUUUAUAUAACACUUGGGGAAAAAAAUCCCUUCCAAUUAUGACUACAAGAUGACUUUGAGAUUCAGAGAUGAGAUAUUAAAAUGGAAAAAUAUGUUCAUCUUAGACUAGACAAAAUAGAGUAAUAUUUUAUUAUGUGAGGGUGAUUGGAAAAGCUGUGAGAUCUGAUUGAGAUUUCAUUGAAGGGAGGGUACGUGAACUAAUAAUAGAGCAUUUAAAGGGGGGCAGUGGUGAUAAAAAGUCAAAUUCCUGCCUUUACCCUACAGUGUCCAACUGGUACAAUAAACUGGUUAAACAAUGUAAUUUCUCAGUCUAAUUUCAAGCAAACACACACAUACCCACACACAUGAGCUAAACCUGCCUUUGACAAAAGCCUGAAGAGAAAAGGGGAUCCAGGCACUCAAAGGCUCAUUUUAAAGGUUUACCUUCUCCAACUAACAUACGUCUAAUCCUUCCCAGAAAGAGCAGAACACUCCUUGAGUGCUAAAAUAGAUGCCAGAUUUCAGUUGGAAUUAAAAAUUGGGAUAUGUGGAAAUAAUGAAAUACUUUGGAUGUUUUCAUAAUUUUGAGAAUUAACAGGAAAGACUUAGAUCUCAUGCUCUCAGUAACACAUUUGAUAACAUGGGGAGAUUAAUAGUAUAACUGAAAUAUCAUUUGGCCUCCCUGCCUCUCAGAUGUCUAGAUAAACUACACUGAAUCCUCCCAGUUCUAUGGACCGUGAAAGUCUAAAGAACUCCCAUUUGCUUUUGUGAAUUCCUGGAGAAUUACGUCUCACAGUCCCCUAAGCCUCUGACUCUCGUGUGUAUCAAUCUGGAUUUGAAACUAGACUCCUCUGGGGGUUUUAAAAUAUGUCCAAAAAUUCUUUGACAUUCCUCUCUUCAAGAGAUGGCACUUAACUCCUCUUCCAUUGAGUGUGGGAUGGACUAACUGACUUAAAUGAAAUGAAUAAUGUAUGUAUGACAUUGUGUGGCUUCUGACACCAGGAUGUAAAGCACAUGGCUUCCUUCUUGCCUUCUCUCUUGGAUUGCUUGCUCUGGAGGAAGCUAGCUUCCAUGUCAUGAGGACACUCAAGCAGCCCUCUGGAGAGAGAGGUUCAUGUGGUGAGAAACAGGAGUCCAGCCUACAGCCAUGUAAUUAAGCCCUCUUGGAAGUGGAGGUUGGUAUCUUUGGCAAUGUACUGAGGCCAAGGGACAUUUUAGAAGGAGAGGCCAGAGUUUGUAUUUAUACUGUUGGGGAGGAAGAAAUUUUCCACUACCGUUCUAGGUUCUUCUGGCUGGUCUAAGAAUUAAAUUGACAUGAGACAGAUUAA
Molecule: long non-coding RNA, 2511 nt
Organism: Aethalodelphis obliquidens (Pacific white-sided dolphin)
Lineage: Eukaryota; Metazoa; Chordata; Mammalia; Artiodactyla; Delphinidae
Exons: 3
Source: RefSeq, a predicted model, not a curated record